GAUGAACGCUAGCGGCAGGCUUAAUACAUGCAAGUCGAACGGUAACUGGAGUAGCAAUACUACAGCAAGAGUGACGUACGAGUGCGUAACACGUAUGCAACCUACCCUUUACAGGAGGAUAGCUCGGGGAAACUCGGAAUUAACCCUCCAUAACAUCAUGUUGUGGCAUCACAAUAUGAUUAAAACUCAGGCGGUAAAGGAUGGGCAUGCGUCUGAUUAGUUAGUUGGCGGGGUAACGGCCCACC
This 245-nucleotide ribosomal RNA is filed under the name uncultured bacterium. RNAcentral describes it as "partial 16S ribosomal RNA". It matches the Rfam family "Bacterial small subunit ribosomal RNA", at positions 28 to 269 of the family's 1533-position model. The record is from RNAcentral.